This 584-nucleotide long non-coding RNA is filed under the name Homo sapiens (human). RNAcentral's name for it is "long non-coding RNA NONHSAT200264.1". The record is from RNAcentral. Lineage: Eukaryota; Metazoa; Chordata; Mammalia; Primates; Hominidae.
CUGGGACAAUGCACGCUCACCCCUUGAAGGCAAACUUGUGGCUUGGUGAUCCAGGGGUUGGAAAAGAGGCUGUUCACUGCCUUGGUCAAGAGGAGCUGGGAUGUGCUCGUCUUCACACCAGGAAGAAGCUACCUGCAAACUUAUGCUGGGGAAGAAAAAUCAAGUGGAGUUUUUUAAGGAGCAAACUGAGAUAAUAAGAGCAUCACUUAUUUAAAAAGAUUAUGCAGGUUUUUCCAGCAUAACCAGGAUGACACUUGCACUUGUUUGGCCCGAUACAUUCACCAUGUUUGCAUCGUGGUUGGCACACAGCUGUGAAAAGAAGAUGGCAUGCAUUAUUUCUAGGUCAACGAAACACCAAUCAUAUAGCAUUGAUGUCGUGCACUAGUUUAAUAAUAAAAGAAAAAAAACUAGAACUUACAACAAAGUAGCCAAAGUAUACAAAAUCAGUUUCCUAUAAACACUCUGUAAGCUACACACACACACAUGUGUUAUGUAUGUAUAUGUGUGUGUAUCAGUUGGGGCUGAAAAAAAUUUUAAAUUCAAGGACAAUACUCAAAUAGACAAAUAAAACUAGGUAAAACUAU